CAAAUUACUACACACAGCAAAUCUUCGAGAGUAAAGUGUCAGGGUGAGCUUGUUUUUUGCUCACCCCAUGAUUAGCGUGGGUUGAGGCUCUGCUAUCAGAGGGGGAGAUGAUACGGGGCUCGUUCGAUCUUGUUCCCGUCAACAGUGUGCUUGUUACCUCUUGCUCUAAAUUUUUGUUCUGCUCGCGAAGUGCUCUCUCCUACACAUCGAAAGGCAAAGAAGUAACAACGAUUCCAUGAAGCGCCGUGACUAACUCUCAUGGGCCAUGGUGGCAGAUGUUAAGCUAAGUGAAUGAGUUUCUAAGAAGCUUCUUUGCCUUCGAAAAGUUUCCAAGAAGGAUAGAGUUCUUAGUGGAAGAGAUCGCUAGGAGUGGAUGGAUUAGUCACUCCAAGAAGACGGAUACCAAUUAAACCAAGGUGUUGUGCAUAUGAAGUCAAGAUUGAAACAAGGCUUUUGCUGCGCAUUAACAACAAGCAUAAAACAUCAAAGAGAAAUGAUUGAAGUUAUUCACACCUCCUCUAGAUCGCACGGGUCCUAACAUUAUCAACUCUAAUUAAAUAAACAACAAUUAAAUUUUUCCAAUACUUUUCUUUGUGGUCAUCUCUAGAAAAUCGUAUUUAUGGAGCAGAUUCAUUCCUCCACAAUUUCAAACACAUGUUUAUUAGUCUAAGAAAUCUAUAUAUGGUAUUUGAUAAGCCUCCCUGAAUGAUUUUAUCAUCUACCUAUUUGAUUAUAUAUUCAAGGAUUCUAUGACUCAAAAUUUGAUA
Zingiber officinale is the source of this 767-nucleotide long non-coding RNA. RefSeq lists it as uncharacterized. The record is from RefSeq and is a predicted model, not a curated record. NCBI's taxonomy places the organism in Eukaryota, Viridiplantae, Streptophyta, Magnoliopsida, Zingiberales, Zingiberaceae. The transcript has 4 exons.